UACGUAGGGGGCAAGCGUUGUCCGGAUUUAUUGGGCGUAAAGAGCUCGUAGGCGGUUGGGCAAGUCACGUGUGAAAUCUCCACGCUCAACGUGGAGGCGCCACGUGAGACUGCCCUGACUCGAGUCCGGUAGGGGAGCGUGGAAUUCCCGGUGUAGCGGUGAAAUGCGCAGAGAUCGGGAGGAACACCCGUAGCGAAGGCGGCGCUCUGGGCCGGUACUGACGCUGAGGCGCGAAAGCGUGGGUAGCAAACAGG
This 254-nucleotide ribosomal RNA is filed under the name uncultured bacterium. RNAcentral's name for it is "partial 16S ribosomal RNA". It matches the Rfam family "Bacterial small subunit ribosomal RNA", at positions 524 to 776 of the family's 1533-position model. The record is from RNAcentral.